UAUCCUUGUCGGUGAAGUUGCACACAAA
This 28-nucleotide small RNA is filed under the name Bombyx mori (domestic silkworm). RNAcentral describes it as "ovarian small RNA-23622". Lineage: Eukaryota; Metazoa; Arthropoda; Insecta; Lepidoptera; Bombycidae. The record is from RNAcentral.